Molecule: long non-coding RNA, 5701 nt
Organism: Physeter macrocephalus (sperm whale)
Lineage: Eukaryota; Metazoa; Chordata; Mammalia; Artiodactyla; Physeteridae
Exons: 3
Source: RefSeq, a predicted model, not a curated record
UCCCCCGUAGAGCGUGAGGCGAGGCGUGGCCGGCGGGCGGCCGGGCGGUGGAGGAGUAGGCUGGGUGUGAUGCCCGCGGUUUCGGUUGGAUUCGUCUCCUGCGCGGUCCCACGAGAGGCUCUGGGAAGGGGAGGGGAAGGCACGUAACCUGCUGCGCUAGCGACCACCCGUCCCUCACUACCUCGGCCCUGAUCUCCUUCCCGGUCUCUCGCCAGCGCCACUGGGUGGGGCCUGUCGGGGGCCGCCUGGCCCACCUUCAGUAGUCAAGCCGGGAGUGGAUACGUGCUCAUCCCCGGGGAAGCCCAGAGGACGGGACGAGCCACGGGCAGAAGAGGGUUCUGCAGAAGCUCGGAUACGCGAGCCUCUGCCGAAAUAUUGAACCCAACCAAUCACAUCAAGCAUUUAUUAAGCACCUACUGUGUUAGGCAGAGAGCACCGUAGAACUGAAGGUGAAAAGAAACUUAGAUCUCACUUAGGUAGUUGGUGGCAGAGACAAGACUAGAACACGGUUUUCUUGGUUCCCUGAUUGGCACUCACUCUCAUGUACUCCUUGCUUCGUGGAUUUAACCUGCGACUCAAGUAAAGCGGCACUAGCAAUGCAAAUCAGUACGCAGGAAGUACCAAGUGACCACUUCAAACAGUAAGACUUCUUGAAAUAUAUUCUUUUCCGAAAUGAAGGCUUCCCUGAGGAGGGUACCUUCCGUUGAAUCUGGAGAGAUAUUACGUCAUCCUCUGAGUCUUACAGAUUGCAGAUUCCUGAAGGACAAGGACGGCAAGCAUCUUGCUCUCAGUUGUUUCCCUACAACCUAAGAUUAAAAAAUACCACGUAAUUGAAGAAGUGUGAGAUACAGCACUUGUAUGGCAGAAAAAGGCUGUAUGUGUAUCAAAGGUCUGCAAGCAUUCUACGUAGCUUUGCCCCCAUCCUUCCAGUUUGUAGUUACCCUCAGUACAACUAUUGAGUAUCUUGUCAACAUCCAAUCUCUAUAUGUGCUCAUCCUCGUGGAACUAAGUUGCAGUGAGUAUUACUACAUCUUAAAGAAGGAUCCAGUUAUUUGCAACUGAUUAAAUGAGAUAACCUAAGUACAAAAUGUAAAGAACAAAUGUGUGGGGUUACUUUUGUUGUAAAUGAAGAAACCCAACACCAGCUGGAUUUUUAUCUCAAUACAAUGAAAUUUGAUAUUUUAAAUGAACUUAUGUUGAAGAUGUAUCCACCUGCCUCUACACACACACACACACACACACACACACACACACACACACACACACACACAGAGUCCUCAUUCACAUGGUAAUUUUUAUUAAGAUAAAAAAUGUUUAAUAUCUGAUAGGAAAUGCUGGAGACAAGAAUAUAGCAUAUACAAGAAAAAAGAAUUAAUUUCAGCAAAUAUUUAUCAGGUAUCUGUUACGUGCCUAUCAUAAAAGCAUUGGCUUUUCAUGGUGGAAAGUGCUCAUUCCAUGGCCAAAAUCACUCAAGAAAAUAAAACGUACAAAUAGGUUUUUUAGUUUAAAGAUAAUGACAUUGUGAGAGAAGCUGGCUCUGGUUGAGAGAAAAACAUUUGGAGAAAACAAGUUAUAUUUCUCAUCGUUCUCCAGGCAUCUGAUAAUUAAUAUUAUAUUUCUUGUCUGUACAUUUCAAAGCAUAAAGAAUUACUGGACAAUUUAUCAUUGGAUAGUUAAUCCAAUGAUUGUUCAAAUACUACUUGGAAAAUUAUGCAGUGCAAUGAGCACUCCCAUAAAGGCAUUUAAAUGGUAUCUGAGAUCUCCAUAUUUUGGAAAAAACUAAACGGGCCAAUGUCUAAACCCUGGAAGAACAAUGGACAAAUUAUUUAAAGUUCUAUUGUGAGAGGGAUAACUUGGUAGUCAGAUGUCAACAAUAGGGCCUUAUGCCUUGAUUAUAAUUGUCUGUGUGUGACAAUAUUGACUGAGCCAGGCGGCUGCUAGGCAGGAUAAGUGUAUGAAGGUAUAAUACUCUUAGAAAAUUUCAACCUUAUUAGCAUAAUUGCUCUGAUGAAGACUGAAGAGCUUAUUUAACAUAACUGACUAGAGUAGACAAUGGAUGCAUAAUCAGUGUCCUAAUGAUUGAAUUAAUGAGCCCCAAUUGUUUGUCCUUACUGUAAGGAGUCCUCAGCUAUGAAAAAGACAUUUUGCUGAAAGAGUCUGACAAUUGUGUUAGCUGAUGAGUGGUCAGAAUGUAAUUAAUGAUGGGAGAGAGACAAUUACUACUGGGUUCUAAAGACAUCAAUGGUGGCUUUCAAGGGGUGAAUUAUAUAGCUACAUAGAAGUUUCAUAUCAGCUCCUCCUUGCCUUCAUACAGUAAUGGAGCCUGAUCAAUGCUCUUAUUUUGCAGCUAAAGAAAACGAGUCCCAGGCUUUUCCAAAGACCCGUGACCACUUUGUGUCAGGGGUUAUACACAUAGUGUCUUACCUUUCCUGCUCUGAUACUGCCCACUGACUCUUUGACCUGUCCCUGAUCUACAGCCUCACCUAUGCCUUUGCUAGUCUCUUCAAUCUCCCUUUUACCUUCUACGCAUAUGUCCUGACCAACUAUUUCACAGUUAAAAUGGGGCAAAUUUCCUCUCUCCACCUAAACCCCAACACUAGACAAAUGUGUCUAGCUCCACAUCUAUUCUCCCAGCCACUUCCUGUGGAAGACCUGCUCCUCCUUCUGGAAAAGGCUUUUUCAUCUACCUAGUCUCUGUUCCCUUGACCACCCAGUCUACAUUAGAACCGCCCGCUCCACACACACAUACCAGUCACACUAUCAUAUCACCUUUUAAAAAUUUUCUUUAAAACUCUAUCAUUAUCUAGAAUUAUCAUAUCCACUAUUUCUGUACUGUGACUUAUUAUUUGUCACUUCUCCCUGCUGAUUGUAAACUCUUUAAGAGCAGGAAACAUGUCUGUUUUGUUCACCAGAAUAUUCCUACUGAAGCAUGUCUAUUUCGUUCACCAUAUUAUCCCUACUUCAAGCAUACCUGGAGGUACUCAAUACAUAUUUUUGAAUGGAUCGAUAAUUUUCCCUCAAACUCAAAGCAUGUGAAAAAUAAACUCAUCAUCUUCUGUUUUCCUUUCUGGGUGUGUUUUAGCCCAGUUCCCUAGAAAACAGACCCUGAUGCAAGGAUGCUGAUCCUUUCUUUAGGAGAUAUUAUCCCAGGGCAGGAACAGGGAAAAGGCAAGGAAGAAUGGAGAGCUAUGCACAGGGAUGCAUUACUGUGCUGAACACUGCUUCAUGGAAAGACUUGAGGAGAUAACAGCCAAUCUCUUGACAGGUGCAACCACUUGGCCAGACAGACAAUAUGGAGGACUCAUGCCUUGGAACAAUUCAAGGAAGAGAGGAAUUUUAUCUUUGUCUCCUGUCGCUUUGUCAUUGGUCAAAGCUUGUCCCACAGGGAGCUAACUUUCCCAUACUUUCCAGUUGUGUUAUCCAUAUUCUUUGAUAGUCACUCAGAAAGUAGGUCCCUGCCCUGGAGUUCAGAAGUGGUGGCAAGAAACUGUUGGUAUGUGGCUGGUCAUCCUUGGGCUGUCAAACCACAAGGGACUUAACUAAGUUGCUCAUGGUGGCGGCUGAGACAGGAGCAAGCGUCCCAAAAGGUCUGAGAAGACACGUAAACGGGGCCUAAUGCAGAGUACUUGUUACCACAACAAUGGUAGGAACAGGUCUGUUUCAUUCGCUGCAUUGUAUCAGCACCUCCCACAAUAAGUGAUGAUUAAAUGUUUGUUGAAGGAAUGCGUGCAUAAAUGGCAUCACCAUCUCUUGAUUUAUUUAAGCCAAAAUCUUGGAGUCAUCCGUGAUCGUCCUUCUUAAUUCCUAUAUUGAGGACAAAAAUUCCUCUACCUCCUUAAUAUAUCUCAGAUCUAAUGCCUCUUGUUCAAGCUCACUGCCUCGAUUCAGAACUUUAGCAUCUUUCAUUGUAAUGCUUGCUAUAGCUCCUUAACUGGUCUUCCCGUCUCUGGUCUCCCUCUCCUCCAAUUCUUUCUCUUUCCUGCCAGAAUUUUCUAAAAAUUAUAGUGUGUUUUCUGAAUGCAAAUCUGAUGAUGUCGCUAUGUUGAUUAAACUGAUAGUUUGUUUAAAAGGAUAAAAUGAAGACUCUUUAACGUAACCCAAAAGAUCCUUCACAAUCUGUCGUAGGCUAGUCUCUUUAGCUUUACACCUCACCACUCCCCACCUUGUCCUUAUAUCCCAGCCAGACUGAAUUCCUGGCGUUUUUCCCAAUACACCAUGCUCUCCCAUUCCUCAGUGCCUACGCUGUGCUCUUUGUUCUGCCUGGAAUACAUUUGUGCCUGAGGAACCUCUACUCAUACUUCAGAACACUAUUUCCAGGUAGCUGCCUUCAUCCACUGAUCAGUCCAUCCCCCACCCGCUCACCCAUGCAAGAUUCAUUGUACCUUUCAAGUUUCUUAGUUGCAAGCAGCAGAAGAAACUGACAUUGCUGACUUAAGGAGAAAGGCAAUUUGUGAAAGGAUAUUGGGUGGCUGACAAAAUUGCUGGGAAGUCUGCAAAAACAGGCUCAGACAGUAAGCAAGAACAAGGAAGUCUGGGCAGCAGCUAGGAUCACAACCAACAUCACAGCACAACACAUUGAGGGAGGUGACCACCACCAUUCAAAACAGGAUACCUCAGCUUACACUUCCAGUUCAGUAGCACUGGACACAGGUACCAUCCACCAUUGGCAUUACCAGCACUAUUGCUCCUGGAAACCAGAUGUCACUGCAGUGCCUGUUAUUGCCCCCAGAAUGGAUUCUCCACCAAACCUACUUUGUUUUACUAGGGCUCCCUCUUUGAAGCCUGUGGCAGAUCCAUUAGGUUUACUAAGCUUAACAUACGUUCCUUGCUCUAAUUGCAGGCAGGUCUGGGAAAGUAAGGAGCUGACAGUUUUUGAGACCUAUAUUGUAAAUGGGAUCUGCUUCACUCCAAUAAUCAUUAGAUUACCCCCCAGAAAGGAAAGGGGGUCAGAUUUUGGGAAACCCCAAAUGACAAAUGUUCUCAAAUUUGCUCAACAAAUAAAUUGGCAUCUGCCUGUACUGGAUUCUCUUUGAGGCACUAAGGUUACAAAAUUGACUGAGGUGCCUACAACCCCUGGGAUGUAUGGUCAAAAAGACAAAAAAUAACAAGUGUUGGCAAAGAUGUAGAUAAAUUGAUGGGAGGAAUGUAAAUUAGUGGACUUUGGAAAACAGUCUGGCAGUUCCUCAAAAGAUUAAACAGAGUAACUAUAUGACCCAACAAUUCCACUCCUAGGUGUAUACCCAAGGGAAAUGGCAACAUAUACUCACUUAAAAACAUACACAAUUGUUCAUAGCAGCACUAUUCAUAAGAGCCAAAAAGUGGAAACAAAUCAAAGGCCUGUCAACUGAUGAAUGGACAAAGUGUGGCAUACCCAUGCAAUGGAAUAUUAUUUGGCCAUGAAAAGUAAUGAACCACAUGGAUGAACCUUGAAAGCAUUAUGCUAAGUGAAAGAAGCCAGUCACAAAGGGUCACAUACUGUAUGAUUCCAUCUAUAUGAAACAUCCAGCAUAGGCAAAUCUGAAAAGAUAGAGAGUAAAUUAGUGGUUGGCUAAGUCUGAGAGCAGAGGUGGAUCGGAUAGGGAUUAACUGCUAAUGGGUACAGAGUUUCUUGCUGGAAUAACAAAAUGUUCUAAAAUAGAUUGUGAUGUUGACUGUACAAAUCUGUGAAUAUACUAAAAACUAUUGAAUUGUAUCCUUUAAA